GGUGCUUGCAUCUUGAUUUAAUUUUGAACGAGUGGCGGACGGGUGAGUAACACGUGGGUAACCUGCCCUUAAGUGGGGGAUAACAUUUGGAAACAGAUGCUAAUACCGCAUAAAUCCAAGAACCGCAUGGUUCUUGGCUGAAAGAUGGCGUAAGCUAUCGCUUUUGGAUGGACCCGCGGCGUAUUAGCUAGUUGGUGAGGUAACGGCUCACCAAGGCAAUGAUACGUAGCCGAACUGAGAGGUUGAUCGGCCACAUUGGGACUGAGACACGGCCCAAACUCCUACGGGAGGCAGCAGUAGGGAAUCUUCCACAAUGGACGCAAGUCUGAUGGAGCAACGCCGCGUGAGUGAAGAAGGCUUUCGGGUCGUAAAACUCUGUUGUUGGAGAAGAAUGGUCGGCAGAGUAACUGUUGUCGGCGUGACGGUAUCCAACCAGAAAGCCACGGCUAACUACGUGCCAGCAGCCGCGGUAAUACGUAGGUGGCAAGCGUUAUCCGGAUUUAUUGGGCGUAAAGCGAGCGCAGGCGGUUUUUUAAGUCUGAUGUGAAAGCCCUCGGCUUAACCGAGGAAGUGCAUCGGAAACUGGGAAACUUGAGUGCAGAAGAGGACAGUGGAACUCCAUGUGUAGCGGUGAAAUGCGUAGAUAUAUGGAAGAACACCAGUGGCGAAGGCGGCUGUCUGGUCUGUAACUGACGCUGAGGCUCGAAAGCAUGGGUAGCGAACAGGAUUAGAUACCCUGGUAGUCCAUGCCGUAAACGAUGAAUGCUAGGUGUUGGAGGGUUUCCGCCCUUCAGUGCCGCAGCUAACGCAUUAAGCAUUCCGCCUGGGGAGUACGACCGCAAGGUUGAAACUCAAAGGAAUUGACGGGGGCCCGCACAAGCGGUGGAGCAUGUGGUUUAAUUCGAAGCAACGCGAAGAACCUUACCAGGUCUUGACAUCUUUUGAUCACCUGAGAGAUCAGGUUUCCCCUUCGGGGGCAAAAUGACAGGUGGUGCAUGGUUGUCGUCAGCUCGUGUCGUGAGAUGUUGGGUUAAGUCCCGCAACGAGCGCAACCCUUAUGACUAGUUGCCAGCAUUUAGUUGGGCACUCUAGUAAGACUGCCGGUGACAAACCGGAGGAAGGUGGGGAUGACGUCAAAUCAUCAUGCCCCUUAUGACCUGGGCUACACACGUGCUACAAUGGAUGGUACAACGAGUUGCGAGACCGCGAGGUCAAGCUAAUCUCUUAAAGCCAUUCUCAGUUCGGACUGUAGGCUGCAACUCGCCUACACGAAGUCGGAAUCGCUAGUAAUCGCGGAUCAGCACGCCGCGGUGAAUACGUUCCCGGGCCUUGUACACACCGCCCGUCACACCAUGAGAGUUUGUAACACCCGAAGCCGGUGGCGUAACCCUUUUAGGGAGCGAGCCGUCUAAGGUGGGACAAAUGAUUAGGGUGAAGUCGUAACAAGGUAGCCGUAGGAGAACCUGCGGCUGGAUCACCUCC
This 1482-nucleotide ribosomal RNA is filed under the name Lacticaseibacillus rhamnosus. RNAcentral describes it as "bacterial SSU rRNA". It matches the Rfam family "Bacterial small subunit ribosomal RNA". Lineage: Bacteria; Bacillati; Bacillota; Bacilli; Lactobacillales; Lactobacillaceae. The record is from RNAcentral.